RNAcentral lists this unclassified non-coding RNA (344 nucleotides) under Hevea brasiliensis (rubber tree). Lineage: Eukaryota; Viridiplantae; Streptophyta; Magnoliopsida; Malpighiales; Euphorbiaceae. The record is from RNAcentral.
UAUAGAUUCGAAUCACUAGGAUGGAAAAUUAAAUUGAAUCAUAAGAUUCAAAUUGUAAGAUUCCAAAAGUUGUGAUUUUAUUCUAUAUUGUUUUGCCAUCAUAAGAUGAUGCAACGUGAAGCUUGAUAAAGAACACAUACUCGUACAAAGAGUGAAAAAUAAAGAGAAAAUUUUUAUUGUUGAAAAACUUAUUGAAAUACAUAAAAAUCUGGGGUAUUUAUAGAGUUUUUGGACUCCUAAACCUAAUAAGAAAAUAAAUCUACUAAUUAUGAAGUUUAAAUAAUCCUAAAUACAAUAGGAAGACAAAUAAAAUAGGAAUUAGCCUAAUCCUAGGUAGAAUAGGA